RNAcentral lists this long non-coding RNA (201 nucleotides) under Capsicum annuum. RNAcentral's name for it is "long non-coding RNA (CANN_LNC013521)". The record is from RNAcentral. Lineage: Eukaryota; Viridiplantae; Streptophyta; Magnoliopsida; Solanales; Solanaceae.
GAGUGCACGUUUUUUAUCUCCUAAUAAUGCUGAAAAUUCUUCUCCUAUAUCUCAUCAGCCAUCUCAAAUUCAUUCUAAUUUUCCUCCACCUACUGGACACCAAACUCCAACCUCCACAUCAAUAGCUGGUCAACAAGACAUCCCAUAUUCCUCUCCAAAUGUUAGUCCUUACACUUAUUUACCUCUUAAUUCUACUUCUCA